This 921-nucleotide small RNA is filed under the name Pongo abelii (Sumatran orangutan). Its description in RNAcentral is "retained intron". The record is from RNAcentral. Lineage: Eukaryota; Metazoa; Chordata; Mammalia; Primates; Hominidae.
GAAAAGGCGGAAGCGGAAGUCGGGGGGCGCGCCAGCUCGUAGCAGGGGAGCGCCCGCUUCGUCGGGUCUGAGCUGGAGGUCGCCAUGGGGCGAGGCAGCGGCACCUUCGAGCGUCUCCUAGACAAGGCGACCAGCCAGCUCCUGUUGGAGACAGAUUGGGAGUCCAUUCUGCAGAUCUGCGACCUGAUCCGCCAAGGGGACACGCAAGCAAAAUAUGCUGUGAAUUCCAUCAAGAAGAAAGUCAACGACAAGAACCCACACGUCGCCUUGUAUGCCCUGGAGGUCAUGGAGUCUGUGGUAAAGAACUGUGGCCAGACAGUUCAUGACGAGGUGGCCAACAAGCAGACCAUGGAGGAGCUGAAGGACCUGCUGAAGAGACAAGUGGAGGUAAACGUCCGUAACAAGAUCCUGUACCUGAUCCAGGCCUGGGCGCAUGCCUUCCGGAACGAGCCCAAGUACAAGGUGGUCCAGGACACCUACCAGAUCAUGAAAGUGGAGGGACACGUCUUUCCGGAAUUCAAAGAGAGCGAUGCCAUGUUUGCUGCCGAGAGAGUGAGUGUGGGCGGCCGCCAGGGGUCCUGGAGUCGGGCUGCUCAGGAAGCGUGAAGGGGAGUGCUGGGAGCCCGGCUUGCUUGAGGGUUGGUGGCUGAGCUCUCGUCUGUCUGGGACCUGAGGAUGCCUGUGUGUCCUGGGCGGAGGCAUAGCAGCUGUCUUGCAGGGCGAGGUGGAGACGCGACUCGAGGGCCUUUAGAGUGGCUAGGGGGCUCGGGAAAGGAAAACAAGCACCUUUGAUGAGGAAGGAAGUCCCUUCCUCAGGCCUCGGCAGCUUCACCCCAGCCCACGCCGCUGGGAAGGGCCGCCCGGGGUAUUGCUCUCGCUCGUGCUGGGGUCCUCUCUGGGUCUGUUGCCUUCUGUGGGGCG